This 21-nucleotide unclassified non-coding RNA is filed under the name Chlamydomonas reinhardtii. RNAcentral's name for it is "small RNA Cre_3774". Lineage: Eukaryota; Viridiplantae; Chlorophyta; Chlorophyceae; Chlamydomonadales; Chlamydomonadaceae. The record is from RNAcentral.
UUAUUUGAUGGUACCUACUAC